This 72-nucleotide transfer RNA is filed under the name Coprococcus sp. RNAcentral describes it as "tRNA-Asn". It matches the Rfam family "tRNA". From Rfam's summary of the family: Transfer RNA (tRNA) molecules are approximately 80 nucleotides in length. Their secondary structure includes four short double-helical elements and three loops (D, anti-codon, and T loops). The record is from RNAcentral. Lineage: Bacteria; Bacillati; Bacillota; Clostridia; Lachnospirales; Lachnospiraceae.
UCCUCGAUAGCUCAAUGGUAGAGCACUCGGCUGUUAACCGAGUUCUUGUAGGUUCGAGCCCUACUCGGGGAG